GCGGUUCGUGCGGAAGGAGCGCUGGGAGUUAUGUGAACCUCAGCGUUAAAAUGUGUUAGGGUUUGGAGAUCCUGACUCCCUUUCUAGGGGCAACUCCUAUAAACAGAUUUAGCCUAAGACUCGCGUGUUGAAAUUGACUUGCCCCAUUCCUGCCAGUUAAGAGGAUUAGAGAUACAGGUGGUGAAAAAGAAACGAUGACACCCCUAAGACCUGAGCCCCUUCUGGGACCCACACUCCACCUGUAGAACUCUGAUGGGGCCUUGUGCGGCCGAACCACAAUCCAAGAGAGGUGUUCUCAUCAUUUGUCGCUAGCCACAGCCAUCUCGAGGGGAAAUGCCCCAAAUGUGGAAGUAUCUGACACCAGGACUGGGGGUUGGAACACUGGAUGAACAGCAUGGGUGCCACUCUUUCACUGUGCACCGUCCUAAGAAAGAAGCCUGUUUCCCUUUGAAGAGCCUAGUGCUGAGUGCCCAAUUCAAUCGGACCACGCAGGGCAGUCUGAAGAUUAAAAGAUGCUACCUUUAAUUCCUUCGGCUAAUUCAGAAGUAUGUGAAACACAACAUACUCAUUAACAUGGAAGAACUGGAUGUGUGUGCAUCUGGCUGUGUAUUAUUUAUUUUUCAGAGACAAGGUUUCACCAUGUUGCCCAGGCUGGUCUUGAACUCCUGGGCUCAAGUGAUCCUCCCACCUCAGCUCCAGAGUAGCUGGGAACGAAGAAUUGUAUGUAUUUCUGAGUGACAUAGAGUACACGAUAAAACCACAUAAUUUAUAUCAUUAUAAAUAACAUACAAAAUUUUGGAGGCUAAAAUAAUAUACGUGAGCAGUCAUAAAAUACAAUGAAAUCAUGUGCUUUGCAGCCACAUGGAUGGAGCUUGAGGUUAUUAUCCUAAGUGUACUCGGAAACAGAAAAUCAAAUAGCACAUGUUCUCACUUAUAAGUGGGAGCUAAAUAAUGGG
RNAcentral lists this long non-coding RNA (956 nucleotides) under Pan troglodytes (chimpanzee). Its description in RNAcentral is "long non-coding RNA NONPTRT016989". The record is from RNAcentral. Lineage: Eukaryota; Metazoa; Chordata; Mammalia; Primates; Hominidae.